AUUGAACGCUGGCGGCAUGCCUUACACAUGCAAGUCGAACGGUAACAGGUCUUCGGAUGCUGACGAGUGGCGAACGGGUGAGUAUUACAUCGGAACGUGCCUAGUAGUGGGGGAUAACUACUCGAAAGAGUGGCUAAUACCGCAUGAGAGCUACGGAUGAAAGCAGGGGAUCGCAAGACCUUGUGCUACUAGAGCGGCCGAUGGCAGGUUGGGUAGUUGGUGGGAUAAAAGCUUACCAAGCCGACGAUCUGUAGCUGGUCUGAGAGGACGAUCAGCCACACUGGGACUGAGAAACGGCCCAGACUCCUACGGGAGGCAGCAGUGGGGAAUUUUGGACAAUGGGCGCAAGCCUGAUCCAGCAAUGCCGCGUGCAGGAUGAAGGCCUUCGGGUUGUAAACUGCUUUUGUACGGAACGAAAAGCCCCGGGUUAAUACCCUGGGGUCAUGACGGUACCGUAAGAAUAAGCACCGGCUAACUACGUGCCAGCAGCAGCCGCCG
Molecule: ribosomal RNA, 498 nt
Filed under: uncultured bacterium
Lineage: Bacteria
Description: partial 16S ribosomal RNA
Rfam family: Bacterial small subunit ribosomal RNA
Source: RNAcentral